Long non-coding RNA from Myxocyprinus asiaticus (Chinese sucker), 2237 nucleotides. RefSeq lists it as uncharacterized. The record is from RefSeq and is a predicted model, not a curated record. NCBI's taxonomy places the organism in Eukaryota, Metazoa, Chordata, Actinopteri, Cypriniformes, Catostomidae. The transcript is spliced from 5 exons.
CUGGGAGAGAGAAGUAGAGAGAGGCACCCUGUUUAGCUACUACCGUGAGGCAUGGGUUACCAAGUGCUGAAGCGGGCCGAGGCGAAACAAAACGCAAUUACGGAUUUUUUAUCAGGAUAAAUCCAGAGCAGAUUAAGUGUGCUUCCAAGGUCCAUGUGAGCAGAAGGACUGGCAAGAAUGAGUCCCUCAAUCCACAUGUGGCAUCAUUCAUCAGGGACUUCAUUGAGUAUGACUGGCAGAACAUCUGAUACCAGGGAAGAAGACUCCAGUCCAGGAAGAAGUGUCCAGUUCAGAAAGAAGAAUACAGUUCAGGAAGCAGAAUCCAGUUCAGGAACAAUAAAAUUUCAAAACAGAAGAAUUCCAGCAACAACCACCACAUCCUCACACGGCACUGUAGAGAGCAUCAUGACUGGCUGCAUCACUGCCUGGAAUGGCAACAGCACCGCCCUCAACCGCAAAGCCCUGCAAAGGGUGGUGCAAAUUGCCAGACACAUCAUCGGAGGUGAGCUUCCCUCCCUCCAGGACAUACAGGUGCAUCUCAAUAAAUUAGAAUGUCGUGGAAAAGUUCAUUUAUUUCAGUAACUCAACUCAAAUUGUGAAACUCGUGUAUUAAAUAAAUUCAAUGCACACAGACUGAAGUAGUUUAAGUCUUUGGUUCUUUUAAUUGUGAUGAUUUUGGCUCACAUUUAACAAAAACCCACCAAUUCACUAUCUCAAAAAAUUAGAAUACAUCAUAAGACCAAUUAAAAAAAACAUUUUUAGUGAAUUGUUGGCCUUCUGGAAAGUAUGUUCAUUUACUGUAUAUGUACUCAAUACUUGGUAGGGGCUCCUUUUGCUUUAAUUACUGCCUCAAUUCGGCGUGGCAUGGAGGUGAUCAGUUUGUGGCACUGCUGAGGUGGUAUGGAAGCCCAGGUUUCUUUGACAGUGGCCUUCAGCUCAUCUGCAUUUUUUGGUCUCUUGUUUCUCAUUUUCCUCUUGACAAUACCCCAUAGAUUCUCUAUGGGGUUCAGGUCUGGUGAGUUUGCUGGCCAGUCAAGCACACCAACACCAUGGUCAUUUAACCAACUUUUGGUGCUUUUGGCAGUGUGGGCAGGUGCCAAAUCCUGCUGGAAAAUGAAAUCAGCAUCUUUAAAAAGCUGGUCAGCAGAAGGAAGCAUGAAGUGCUCCAAAAUGUCUUGGUAAACGGGUGACUUUGGUUUUCAAAAAACACAAUGGACCAACACCAGCAGAUGACAUUGCACCCCAAAUCAUCACAGACUGUGGAAACUUAACACUGGACUUCAAGCAACUUGGGCUAUGAGCUUCUCCACCCUUCCUCCAGACUCUAGGACCUUGGUUUCCAAAUGAAAUACAAAACUUGCUCUGAUCUGAAAAGAGGACUUUGGAACACUGGGCAACAGUCCAGUUCUUCUUCUCCUUAGCCCAGGUAAGACGCCUCUGACGUUGUCUGUGGUUCAGGAGUGGCUUAACAAGAGGAAUAUGACAACUGUAGCCAAAUUCCUUGACACGUCUGUGUGUGGUGGCUCUUGAUGCCUUGACCUCAGCCUCAGUCCAUUCCUUGUGAAGUUCACCCAAAUUCUUGAAUCGAUUUUGCUUGACAAUCCUCAUAAGGCUGCGGUUCUCUCAGUUGGUUGUGCAUCUUUUUCUUCCACACUUUUUCCUUCCACUCAACUUUCUGUUAACAUGCUUGGAUACAGCACUCUGUGAACAGCCAGCUUCUUUGGCAAUGAAUGUUUGUGGCUUACCCUCCUUGUGAAGGCUGUCAAUGAUUGUCUUCUGGACAGCUGUCAGAUCAGCAGUCUUCCCCAUGAUUGUGUAGCCUAGUGAACCAAACUGAGAGACCAUUUUGAAGGCUCAGGAAACCUUUGCAGGUGUUUUGAGUUGAUUAGCUGAUUGGCAUGUCACCAUAUUCUAAUUUUUUGAGAUAGUGAAUUGGUGGGUUUUUGUUAAAUGUGAGCCAAAAUCAUCACAAUUAAAAGAACCAAAGACUUAAACUACUUCAGUCUGUGUGCAUUUAAUUUAUUUAAUACACGAGUUUCACAAUUUGAGUUGAAUUACUGAAAUAAAUGAACUUUUCCACGACAUUCUAAUUUAUUGAGAUGCACCUGUAUAUACCAGGCGGUGUGUGAAAAAAGCUCGGAGGAUCAUCAAAGACUCCAGCCACCCGAGCCAUGGGCUGCUCUCACUGCUACCAUCAGGCAGGCGGUAUCGCAGCAUCAGGACCCGCACUAGCCGAC